RNAcentral lists this ribosomal RNA (275 nucleotides) under uncultured prokaryote. RNAcentral describes it as "partial 16S ribosomal RNA". It matches the Rfam family "Bacterial small subunit ribosomal RNA", at positions 524 to 800 of the family's 1533-position model. The record is from RNAcentral.
UACGUAGGGGCUAGCGUUAUCCGGAAUUACUGGGCGUAAAGGGUGCGUAGGCGGUCUUUCAAGCCAGAAGUGAAAGGCUACGGCUCAACCGUAGUAAGCUUUUGGAACUGUAAGACUUGAGUGCAGGAGAGGAGAGUGGAAUUCCUAGUGUAGCGGUGAAAUGCGUAGAGAUUAGGAAGAACACCAGUGGCGAAGGCGAUUCUCUGGACUGUAACUGACGCUGAGGCUCGAAAGCGUGGGGAGCAAACAGGAUUAGAUACCCCGGUAGUCCCUGA